UACGGGGGGGGCAAGCGUUGUUCGGAAUUACUGGGCGUAAAGGGCGCGUAGGCGGCCACGCAAGUCGGAUGUGAAAUCCCUCGGCUCAACCGAGGAACUGCAUCCGAAACUGCGAGGCUCGAGUCCUGGAGAGGGUAGUGGAAUUCCCAGUGUAGCGGUGAAAUGCGUAGAUACUGGGAGGAACACCGGUGGCGAAGGCGGCUACCUGGACAGGUACUGACGCUGAGGCGCGAAAGCCAGGGGAGCAAACAGG
Molecule: ribosomal RNA, 253 nt
Filed under: uncultured bacterium
Lineage: Bacteria
Description: partial 16S ribosomal RNA
Rfam family: Bacterial small subunit ribosomal RNA
Source: RNAcentral